GAUUCCUCCUCCACGUAGCUCUCCUCUUCAUGUCACACAACGCCGGAGGCCUGUCGUGCAGCCGCCGCUAGAGACCUGUCGCGCAGCCACCACCGAAGGCCUGUCGCGCAGCCGCCGCCGCCGGAGACCUGUCGCGCAGCAGUUGCCGCCGGGCUUAGGCGCUGCUAGGGGGACGAGGACUCCAUAGGUGAUCCGCGGGGGAUGGGUCGUGGGCGCUGCCAGGGGACGAGGACUCCGUAGGCGAUCUGCGGGGGACGACAAGAAUUGCUCUGCUUUGCACGUGCUGCCAGUCUGCCUGUGCUACCAGAUUUCAACCUCGACAUUGACGCGCAUCACCAAUUUGUUGCGCCUGG
Molecule: long non-coding RNA, 353 nt
Filed under: Zea mays
Lineage: Eukaryota; Viridiplantae; Streptophyta; Magnoliopsida; Poales; Poaceae
Description: long non-coding RNA NONZMAT004570
Source: RNAcentral